CCCCUAGAUGUUCUGGGCCGCACGCGCGCUACACUGAACAGUUCAACAAGUCUUAACCUUGGCCGAUAGGUCUGGGUAAUCUUUGAACGCUAUUCGUGAUUGGGAUAGACCUUUGCAAUUAUGGGUCUUCAACGAGGAAUUCCUAGUAAACGCAAGUCAUCAGCUUGCAUUGAUUACGUCCCUGCCCUUUGUACACACCGCCCGUCGCACCUACCGAUUGAAUGGUCCGGUGAAAUCUCGGGACGGCGGCUUGGUCGCUUGCGUCCGACUGCUGAAACUUGAUUAAACCAUAUCAUUUAGAGGAAGGUGAANUCGUANCA
RNAcentral lists this ribosomal RNA (320 nucleotides) under uncultured eukaryote. RNAcentral describes it as "partial 18S ribosomal RNA". It matches the Rfam family "Eukaryotic small subunit ribosomal RNA", at positions 1470 to 1796 of the family's 1831-position model. The record is from RNAcentral.